Long non-coding RNA from Cavia porcellus (domestic guinea pig), 459 nucleotides. RefSeq lists it as uncharacterized. The record is from RefSeq and is a predicted model, not a curated record. NCBI's taxonomy places the organism in Eukaryota, Metazoa, Chordata, Mammalia, Rodentia, Caviidae. The transcript has 3 exons.
UGUGGGUGAACCACUAAUUAAUUAUAUAAAUUAGAAACAUGUUUUAAAAUGUAAAAUUUUCUUUUCUCAAAUUUAGGUGGCGCUACGCAAUAUAAUGUCAACUCAUCUUUUUCCUUAGGCUUCCAACAGAAACCUGUAACCUACCGAAGGACACUAAAGCAAUUUCUGAUGAGCUAAGGAACAACCAUAAGGGAAGCCUGGUGUCCACACUCAGAUGCUGCUUGUGGUGGUGAAGAGUGAGGCAUUAGGCUGGCUUCAGAGGAAUCGUUGCACCACCACUUGUUGGCAAAGAGAUCUUUUGCAAGCUUGCUGAGUAGCAGCUGACAUGCACAGGAUUGUAUAUAGAAGAUGCUGACAAGAAAAGACACAGAAAGGAUAAUCAACUGCCAUGGAUGCCUACAACCUGACCACUCUGGAAAGAUAAGGCAGGAGGAUCACAAAUUUGAGCCCACCCUCAGC